UGAUUAGGUACGGCUAAUACCUAAAUUGAAUACGCUUCCUCGUCAUAUACUUAGCUUCCUCCUCACACACUUGUCUCCUCCCAACCGAACACCUUAACACCACCCUUUCUCCAUCUCUACACCACUAAUCGGUCCUUCAUCUCCAUCUCUCCUGUCGCAACACCGUCAUCACCGGCCAACCUCGCCUCGCCUCGCACCUCCAAUAAUUCAACCAACCUGAAAAUCCCACCACCGGACCAUCAUCAUCAUACAAAUUAACCACACUUGCGGUUCAAAUUUAAAGGAAAAACAAGGACAGAAAUACAAAGGAACUACAACUGUUCAUGAAGGAUAAGGAAGUGUUUUGGCUGUGAUCAAGAUGCAAAAUCAAAUGAAAAUGUUGUUGCCAUGUGGUCUUCCACCAGAGAGAGAGAAGAGGAAUAAGGCAAUGAGGAUUUUCAUGGGGAGAUUUACUAUGAUUGCAUUAUGAAAAAAUUGUGUAGUAUCAACCUGAUGCGAGGAUAAAAAACUAUGUUGAGUUUUUGAUGUUUAUGUUACAUGUAAUAUGUUCUAUAUUAUACAAAGUCAUGUUUUAGUGAUGAACAUUAAUCUUUGUGUAUUUUAUGGGGUGGUUAUGUUGGUAAGUGUCACGUUGUAAGUGAUGAACAUUAA
Lactuca sativa (garden lettuce) is the source of this 651-nucleotide long non-coding RNA. RefSeq lists it as uncharacterized. NCBI's taxonomy places the organism in Eukaryota, Viridiplantae, Streptophyta, Magnoliopsida, Asterales, Asteraceae. The record is from RefSeq and is a predicted model, not a curated record.